Molecule: ribosomal RNA, 921 nt
Filed under: uncultured Cortinarius
Lineage: Eukaryota; Fungi; Basidiomycota; Agaricomycetes; Agaricales; Cortinariaceae
Description: eukaryotic LSU rRNA
Rfam family: Eukaryotic large subunit ribosomal RNA
Source: RNAcentral
UAGCAUAUCAAUAAGCGGAGGAAAAGAAACUAACAAGGAUUCCCCUAGUAACUGCGAGUGAAGCGGGAAAAGCUCAAAUUUAAAAUCUGGCAGUCUUUGGCUGUCCGAGUUGUAAUCUAGAGAAGUGUUAUCCGCGCUGGACCGUGUACAAGUCUCCUGGAAUGGAGCGUCAUAGAGGGUGAGAAUCCCGUCUUUGACACGGACUACCAGGGCUUUGUGAUGCGCUCUCAAAGAGUCGAGUUGUUUGGGAAUGCAGCUCAAAAUGGGUGGUAAAUUCCAUCUAAAGCUAAAUAUUGGCGAGAGACCGAUAGCGAACAAGUACCGUGAGGGAAAGAUGAAAAGAACUUUGGAAAGAGAGUUAAACAGUACGUGAAAUUGCUGAAAGGGAAACGCUUGAAGUCAGUCGCGUCGUCCAGGGAUCAACCUUGCUUUUGCUUGGUGCACUUUCUGGUUGACGGGUCAGCAUCAAUUUUGACCAUUGGAAAAAUAUCAAGGGAAUGUGACAUCUUUGGAUGUGUUAUAGCCCUUGGUUGUAUACGAUGGUUGGGAUUGAGGAACUCAGCACGCCGCAAGGCCGGGUUUUUAACCACGUACGUGCUUAGGAUGCUGGCAUAAUGGCUUUAAUCGACCCGUCUUGAAACACGGACCAAGGAGUCUAACAUGCCUGCGAGUGUUUGGGUGGAAAACUCGAGCGCGUAAUGAAAGUGAAAGUUGAGAUCCCUGUCGUGGGGAGCAUCGACGCCCGGACCAGACCUUUUGUGACGGUUCCGCGGUAGAGCAUGUAUGUUGGGACCCGAAAGAUGGUGAACUAUGCCUGAAUAGGGUGAAGCCAGAGGAAACUCUGGUGGAGGCUCGUAGCGAUUCUGACGUGCAAAUCGAUCGUCAAAUUUGGGUAUAGGGGCGAAAGACUAAUCGAUCCAU